RNAcentral lists this ribosomal RNA (253 nucleotides) under uncultured bacterium. Its description in RNAcentral is "partial 16S ribosomal RNA". It matches the Rfam family "Bacterial small subunit ribosomal RNA", at positions 524 to 776 of the family's 1533-position model. The record is from RNAcentral.
UACGUAGGGUGCGAGCGUUAAUCGGAAUUACUGGGCGUAAAGCGUGCGCAGGCGGUUCGUCGUGUCCGAUGUGAAAGCCCCGGGCUCAACCUGGGAAUGGCAUUGGAAACUGGCGGGCUUGAGUGUGGCAGAGGGGGGUGGAAUUCCGCGUGUAGCAGUGAAAUGCGUAGAUAUGCGGAGGAACACCGAUGGCGAAGGCAGCCCCCUGGGCUAACACUGACGCUGAGGCACGAAAGCGUGGGGAGCAAACAGG